AGCCCAGAGAAAUUUGGAUUAAUACCUCAUAGUAUGUGAGGAUGGCAUCAUUUCACAUUAAAGUCACAACGGGCAAAAGAUGAGCAUGCGUCCCAUUAGCUAGUUGGUAAGGUAACGGCUUACCAAGGCUACGAUGGGUAGGGGGUCCUGAGAGGGAGAUCCCCCACACUGGUACUGAGACACGGACCAGACUCCUACGGGAGGCAGCAGUGAGGAAUAUUGGACAAUGGGCGCAAGCCUGAUCCAGCCAUGCCGCGUGCAGGAUGACGGUCCUAUGGAUUGUAAACUGCUUUUAUACAGGAAGAAACACUCCGACGUGUCGGAGCUUGACGGUACUGUAAGAAUAAGGAUCGGCUAACUCCGCG
RNAcentral lists this ribosomal RNA (365 nucleotides) under uncultured bacterium. RNAcentral describes it as "bacterial SSU rRNA". It matches the Rfam family "Bacterial small subunit ribosomal RNA", at positions 145 to 507 of the family's 1533-position model. The record is from RNAcentral.